Long non-coding RNA from Trachemys scripta elegans, 311 nucleotides. RefSeq lists it as uncharacterized. NCBI's taxonomy places the organism in Eukaryota, Metazoa, Chordata, Testudines, Emydidae. The transcript is spliced from 3 exons. The record is from RefSeq and is a predicted model, not a curated record.
GUGGAACUGGCUUUCCCAGGCGUCCAGGUGGCUGAUGGGGGAGAGUAUCGGUGUGAGGUGCACAACACCCUAGGGAAAUCCACCUCCCUGCCACUCUCCAUCACUGUUGUGUACGGCAGUGACUGGUACCAGCUGAGCCCUGGCCCCAUGGCAGGCUUCAGAGCAGGGGUCCUGCUGCUCUUCCUCCUGAGCAACCUCGGGGUUUAUUGUCUGGCCAGGAGACUCCGCCAACGGAAAGAACUGGGGGGGGAGUCAGCAGGGGGGCAGCAGAGGGGACCCCAGCGUCCCACAGAGAGACUCGCUCUAUGAGG